Molecule: ribosomal RNA, 229 nt
Filed under: Escherichia coli
Lineage: Bacteria; Pseudomonadati; Pseudomonadota; Gammaproteobacteria; Enterobacterales; Enterobacteriaceae
Description: partial 16S ribosomal RNA
Rfam family: Bacterial small subunit ribosomal RNA
Source: RNAcentral
AAAUUGAAGAGUUUGAUCAUGGCUCAGAUUGAACGCUGGCGGCAGGCCUAACACAUGCAAGUCGAACGGUAACAGGAAGAAGCUUGCUUCUUUGCUGACGAGUGGCGGACGGGUGAGUAAUGUCUGGGAAACUGCCUGAUGGAGGGGGAUAACUACUGGAAACGGUAGCUAAUACCGCAUAACGUCGCAAGACCAAAGAGGGGGACCUUCGGGCCUCUUGCCAUCGGAU